Molecule: ribosomal RNA, 505 nt
Filed under: uncultured bacterium
Lineage: Bacteria
Description: bacterial SSU rRNA
Rfam family: Bacterial small subunit ribosomal RNA
Source: RNAcentral
CUGGCGGCGUGCCGUAAUACAUAGCAAGUCGAGCGAACAAGAGAAGGAGCUUGCUCCUUCGACGUUAGCGGCGGACGGGUGAGUAACACGUGGGCAACCUACCUUAUAGUUGGGAGUAACUCCGGGAAACCGGGGCUAAUACCGAAUAAUCUGUUUCACUUCAUGGUGAAACACUGAAAGACGGUUUCGGCUGUCGCUAUAGGAUGGGCCCGCGGCGCAUUAGCUAGUUGGUGAGGUAACGGCUCACCAAGGCGACGAUGCGUAGCCGACCUGAGAGGGUGAUCGGCCACACUGGGACUGAGACACGGCCCAGACUCCUACGGGAGGCAGCAGUAGGGAAUCUUCCACAAUGGGCGAAAGCCUGAUGGAGCAACGCCGCCGUGAGUGAAGAAGGAUUUCGGUUCGUAAAACUCUGUUGUAAGGGAAGAACAAGUACAGUAGUAACUGGCUGUACCUUGACGGUACCUUAUUAGAAAGCCACGGCUAACUACGUGCCAGCAGCCGC